This 1061-nucleotide long non-coding RNA is filed under the name Equus caballus (horse). RNAcentral's name for it is "lncRNA (ENSECAG00000056539.1)". The record is from RNAcentral. Lineage: Eukaryota; Metazoa; Chordata; Mammalia; Perissodactyla; Equidae.
CCGCCGACACCCGCACGCAGGCUCCCGCCGGCGCGGCACCGUCCCCACCGCUGCUGAGCGCGCCUCUGCCCAUAGUCUCGAGGGCCAGAUGUGACGGGAGAGGUGCUGCAGUUGCGGAAAUUGCGGGGCGCAGCCAAGCCCCUGUUGGCACGUGGCCCAUGCCACAAAAUUAACCCGGGCGCCAGGGAACCCAGGAGAAUGUAAAGUUAGACCUGACUUUUUAGUCUUGUGUGCCGAAUAAUAGAAAGAGACACCAGAGAUGCACCUGCACAGAGGGAAGGCCAUGUGAGGACACAGAGAGAAGGUGCAGUCUACAAGUCAAGAAGAAUGGCUUCACCAGAAACCAGCCCUACUGGCACCUUGAUCUUGGACUUCCAGCCUCCAGCACUAUAAGUCCUUGGGCAACCUGACCUCCGGGCAUCAAUGGCAGCUGGAUGCUGGUUAUCUGGUGAUCAUAACUUCCUUGAAGGCAUUCUUUUUCUUCUGUAAAACAAGCUCACAGAUCCUUAUGACCCUUGAAUCACCCCUCAGGUUAAACAAGAAAACAGCAAAUUGACAAGAUUAUCUUCUUUUCAUCUAUGUCUGUGUUGGGAACAAGGUCAAAAGGGUCACAUCAAAAGGAUCCUUGGCCACAUCUUUUUCUUCUUUCACUCCCUGAGUCCUUUUCUCCCAACUAUGCCAACUGAGGAUUGUACAGCAUCUUCUUUUGACUGGACUUCUUGAAGAGGAGCAGCUGUGUGUUGGAAAGGAAGGACCCUCCUCGGCAGUAGUGCUGGAGACUCCUGACUUUAUCAUCAACAAUACCUCUGUGAUCUGAAGCAAGUUACUUCUCAUAUCUGGGCUGAUUCCUUCAUUCUAAAAUGAGCAAAACCAAGACUUAAUUGCAGUUUCAGCCUCUCCGUGCCCAUCUUCCUCCACUUUAUAUGUGGGACACCUACCACAGCAUGGCUUGCCAAGUGGUUCACUGGGAUCGGAACCGGCGAACCCCAGGCCACUGAAGUAGAACAUGUGAACUUAACCGCUGCACCAUGGGGCUGGCCCCUGAAUUGUUUAAUAAAGCC